CUGACUUCAGCCUGAGAAAGUGUCCUUUCGCCUGUUAGGCAAAGAUCAACAGUCCGCAGCCUACACAGGUGGCCUUGAGGAAUAGGGCAGGGAGUCGUUAUCAUAUCACUUGGAAGAAUGUUGUUGUUCUCCUCGGCGUCAACCUUCAAGCAGCUGGCGCGGUCGGGGAUGGGGUUAUAGCUGCAUUAGAGAUGGAGGUAACUGGUGUAGGGCGAACGAACUGCAUCCAUUUUUCAGGCUCCCCAGAGUGCAAAAACCCAAGGAGGACCACCGGAGAGGAAACCGCGCCACCCUCCUGGAAAGAGCUGAGGAGAGCCCCAGACGUGGGGUCACCCAGCAAUCACGGUGCAGAAGCCACAGAGGGCCGUAGUGACGAGCCCGCAGGCCCAGCAGGCAGCCUCCCGCACCAGAGCGGACCGAGCUGGGGUCCCAGAAGCCUAAGGACCGAGGGCACCCCACCCCCCAGAGGGGGCCUGACCCAGCCACGGGCGCCAGGCCCGUUAAUGUUUAAUGAAAGUAAAAUGACACAGUUUCUUUUCUGAUGUUUUGCAGAGGUAAACAAGAUGAAUAAAUAUGCAGUGGAUGUAACUCUGGAUCCUGCUACUGCUGCUGGCUGGGUGGUCCUGUCCCCGGAUGGUAAAAAGGUGAGCCUGAGCUCCCAGCAGUGGAGGAACCCGCUACCUGACGACCCCCGCAGGUUCAACUCCUGCGUCGCUGUGCUGGGAAAACAAAGCUUCACAUCUGGGAAACGUUACUGGGUGGUUCAGGUUGGGGACAAAAGAGACUGGGAUCUUGGGGUGGCCCGGGAGUCCAUCAACAGGAAGGGUGCCAUCACAAUUUGCCCUGACAACGGUUACUGGGCGAUAUGCUGACGUAGCGGUGGUAGCCUGUGCGCCUGCGCUGGACCUUCCGUCACCCUUCACCUUAAAGAAAUUCCUCAGAAAGUCGGUAUAUUCCUGGACUAUGACGAAGGCUCGGUUUCCUUCUACAACACAGAGGCAAAGACUCACAUUUAUACUUACAGUGGGCUCACUUUCACCGAGCCGCUGUAUCCGUACUUUAACCCCUGCAUACAUGACACCGGGAAGAACACGGCCCCGCUGGUUAUCUGCCCGAUCGAGGCUGGGAUCACUGUAGACACUUCAGCACGUUGAACAAGAGACUCGGAGGAUCCUUGUUAAAACCUCAAGAGUAUCCACAUUAGUUGUCUGGAUAAGUUGUAAUCUGUAAAUGCAAACAAAAGGCACUUGGAGCAGAACGAAAGACCAAGAACAGGAGAAAAUAUUCUCCUGAAUUUGUACGUGCUUUGUCUCUAGGGGCCACCGUAAAUAUACUUUUAUUUAUUCACUCCACAUAAAAUGUAAUAAAUAACUAUUUAACAUUUCAACUUUUAACUAUUUAAAUUUUCAGCUUUUUCCUUUUAAACAAAUUUAAAGUGAAACAACACAAAACACUGCAAACCACAACACAAUUAAAUAUAAAUUAAAAUAUGAAACAAAAAGAAGAUGCACAUUCUCUGUCAUAUGGGCCUGCAUGAAUAAACUUUCUGAAC
Molecule: long non-coding RNA, 1552 nt
Organism: Oreochromis aureus
Lineage: Eukaryota; Metazoa; Chordata; Actinopteri; Cichliformes; Cichlidae
Source: Ensembl